UACGUGAAACCGUUCAGGGGUAAACCUGAGAAACCCGAAAGGUCGAAUGGGGAGAUUCAGCGUGUCUCGUCGCAGGAGNNAGUUUCGGUCGCGUGACGACUCGGUGCUUGCACCCUGGCGCGCCUUCCGGAUCCGUAACCGGCGACGAACUCGUGCACUUCUCCCCUAGUAGGACGUCGCGACCCGUUGGGUGCCGGUCUAAGGCCGACGGUGGAGCCUUGGGGGAGUUCCUCGGAACGUUCUCCAAGACCCGUCGUGUCCCGGCCGGCCCGCCCGACGGUAAGACAGAGGCGUGGGGUCGCUACUUGUUAGCGUCCGGCCCGUCACAAGUUCGGACGACUGCUCGGAUGUCGGACCUGCGUGCCGACCCCGAGCUCGCACGGCUGUUGGUGACGGUGUCCUCGGACAGACUUCGAACACGCCGGUCGGCGACGCUUUAGCUUUGGGUACUUUCAGGACCCGUCUUGAAACACGGACCAAGGAGUCUAGCAUGUGCGCGAGUCAUUGGGACCGCAUCUAAACCUAAAGGCGAAAUGAAAGUGAAGGCCGCCUUGCGCGUGCCGAGGGAGGAUGGGUCGGGCUCUGCCCGCCACCCCGCACUCCCGGGGCGUCUCGUUCUCAUCGCGAGAUGAGGCGCACCCAGAGCGUACACGCUGGGACCCGAAAGAUGGUGAACUAUGCCUGAUCAGGACGAAGUCAGGGGAAACCCUGAUGGAGGUCCGUAGCGAUUCUGACGUGCAAAUCGAUCGUCGGAAUUGGGUAUAGCGGCGAAAGACCAAUCGAACCAUC
This 789-nucleotide ribosomal RNA is filed under the name Staphylinidae sp. NZAC 03010980. RNAcentral's name for it is "eukaryotic LSU rRNA". It matches the Rfam family "Eukaryotic large subunit ribosomal RNA", at positions 396 to 944 of the family's 3401-position model. The record is from RNAcentral. Lineage: Eukaryota; Metazoa; Arthropoda; Insecta; Coleoptera; Staphylinidae.